This 107-nucleotide small nucleolar RNA is filed under the name Olea europaea subsp. europaea. RNAcentral's name for it is "Plant small nucleolar RNA R71". It matches the Rfam family "Plant small nucleolar RNA R71". Rfam says of the family: R71 is a member of the C/D box family of snoRNAs containing the C (UGAUGA) and D (CUGA) box motifs. Multiple nearly identical copies of this snoRNA have been identified in Arabidopsis, and it is thought to function as a 2'-O-ribose methylation guide for 18S ribosomal RNA. The record is from Rfam by way of RNAcentral. Lineage: Eukaryota; Viridiplantae; Streptophyta; Magnoliopsida; Lamiales; Oleaceae.
AUCCCAUGGUGUAGGCACUUUCUCAGCAUAUUCUUGAACCUAUUCCAAGCUUCAUCGAAAUUCUCCAAGUCGCCUUGGCGAAAGACAGAAAUGUUGUGCUUGAGCUU